AUGNACGAGUCUGACGGAGCACGCCGCGUGAGUGAUGAAGGUUUUCGGAUCGUAAAACUCUGUUGUUAGGGAAGAACAAGUACCGUUCGAAUAGGGCGGUACCUUGACGGUACCUAACCAGAAAGCCACGGCUAACUACGUGCCAGCAGCCGCGGUAAUACGUAGGUGGCAAGCGUUGUCCGGAAUUAUUGGGCGUAAAGCGCGCGCAGGCGGUUUCUUAAGUCUGAUGUGAAAGCCCCCGGCUCAACCGGGGAGGGUCAUUGGAAACUGGGGAACUUGAGUGCAGAAGAGGAGAGUGGAAUUCCACGUGUAGCGGUGAAAUGCGUAGAGAUGUGGAGGAACACCAGUGGCGAAGGCGACUCUCUGGUCUGUAACUGACGCUGAGGCGCGAAAGCGUGGGGAGCGAACAGGAUUAGAUACCCUGGUAGUCCACGCCGUAAACGAUGAGUGCUAAGUGUUAGAGGGUUUCCGCCCUUUAGUGCUGCAGCAAACGCAUUAAGCACUCCGCCUGGGGAGUACGGUCGCAAGACUGAAACUCAAAGGAAUUGACGGGGGCCCGCACAAGCGGUGGAGCAUGUGGUUUAAUUCGAAGCAACGCGAAGAACCUUACCAGGUCUUGACAUCCUCUGACAACCCUAGAGAUAGGGCUUCCCCUUCGGGGGCAGAGUGACAGGUGGUGCAUGGUUGUCGUCAGCUCGUGUCGUGAGAUGUUGGGUUAAGUCCCGCAACGAGCGCAACCCUUGAUCUUAGUUGCCAGCAUUCAGUUGGGCACUCUAAGGUGACUGCCGGUGACAAACCGGAGGAAGGUGGGGAUGACGUCAAAUCAUCAUGCCCCUUAUGACCUGGGCUACACACGUGCUACAAUGGGCAGAACAAAGGGCAGCGAAGCCGCGAGGCUAAGCCAAUCCCACAAAUCUGUUCUCAGUUCGGAUCGCAGUCUGCAACUCGACUGCGUGAAGCUGGAAUCGCUAGUAAUCGCGGAUCAGCAUGCCGCGGUGAAUACGUUCCCGGGUCUUGUACACACCGACCGAUGUUAAAAAAAAACACCCCCCCUCCUGGGUGCCCGCCCAGGUGGGUUCAGUCUUAUCAAUUUUCCCCCUUCCCACCAAACAGAGGGUUUAAAAUAAAGGCGUGGGAAGGGAGGGCAGAUCCGAUACUAAAUAAGCCCCCAUGUCUUUUGGUUGAAAUGGAAAAGAAACCAUUCUUUUUACCCCGGCUGUUUCUCCACCCCGGGUUUAAUUUAAAGAAAAAAAAAGGGGGCUUUCCCCUCCUGGGUCCCCCCUCACUCAAAAAAUGGGGAAAG
This 1303-nucleotide ribosomal RNA is filed under the name Bacillus licheniformis. Its description in RNAcentral is "bacterial SSU rRNA". The stretch from base 1 to 1092 matches the Rfam family "Bacterial small subunit ribosomal RNA", at positions 371 to 1533 of the family's 1533-position model. Lineage: Bacteria; Bacillati; Bacillota; Bacilli; Caryophanales; Bacillaceae. The record is from RNAcentral.